This 329-nucleotide unclassified non-coding RNA is filed under the name plant metagenome. RNAcentral's name for it is "partial contains 5.8S ribosomal RNA, internal transcribed spacer 2, and large subunit ribosomal RNA". The stretch from base 1 to 105 matches the Rfam family "5.8S ribosomal RNA", at positions 50 to 154 of the family's 154-position model. The record is from RNAcentral.
GAAAUGCGAUAAGUAAUGUGAAUUGCAGAAUUCCGUGAAUCAUCGAAUCUUUGAACGCACAUUGCGCCCUCUGGUAUUCCGGGGGGCAUGCCUGUCCGAGCGUCAUUGCGAACCCCUCAAGCACGGCUUGUGUGAUGGGCCCUCCCGCGUCUUGGUCGUCAAGACGGUCCCGAAAUGCAGUGGCGGCUUCGCGGUUAUCCGAUCAGCCAGAGCGUAUGGGGACUUUCUCUCUGUCACACGCCCGCGGCGCGGACCGACGCCUGUCGACCUUCAUUCAUCGUUUUCUCGGUUGACCUCGGAUCAGGUAGGGAUACCCGCUGAACUUAAGC